RNAcentral lists this ribosomal RNA (253 nucleotides) under uncultured bacterium. RNAcentral describes it as "partial 16S ribosomal RNA". It matches the Rfam family "Bacterial small subunit ribosomal RNA", at positions 524 to 776 of the family's 1533-position model. The record is from RNAcentral.
UACAUGGGGUGCAAACGUUGCUCGGAAUUAUUGGGCGUAAAGCGCGCGUAGGCGGUUACUCAAGUCGGAUGUGAAAGCCCUCGGCUUAACUGAGGAAGUGCACCCGAAACUGAGUAGCUAGAGUACUAAAGAGGGUCGCGGAAUUCCCGGUGUAGAGGUGAAAUUCGUAGAUAUCGGGAGGAACACCGGUGGCGAAGGCGGCGACCUGGGUAGAUACUGACGCUGAGGCGCGAAAGCAUGGGGAGCAAACAGG